UGGUUGGAGGGGUGCAGAGAGGCGUUGAAGUGCGAGCAAAAAGGAGCAGAGAGAAAGAGAGGGGAGAGAGAGUAGGGAAUUGGAAGCUGAGGUCUGGCCUCCUCUCUCUCUCCUCCCCGCCUGUUCUAGAUCGUCAGUUCGUCACGCCUCUGUUUUUCUUCUUUUUGUCUAGUUGUUUUCUUCGGUUUACUGCGCUGUUCUAGUGAUGCAUUUGUCUCGCUUGUUUUAGGGUUUUUUUUGUUCUGUUUUUUUGAGAUCUUGUGUUUUUUUUUCCCGUGUGAUUUGUGUGUGUUUCGCCCCCAAUUUGCUGCUGGUGUGUUCCCGAUGUGAUCCGGAGGAAAAAAAAGAUGUUUUUUUGUUUGAUAUACCUCCUCCGAAUGAUCCUCUGUGAUUUUAUUCGUAAAGGAGGGAUUGUUUUUACUAUUUCUGGAGCAGAUCUACGUUCGUUUGCAUGUGAAGCUGGAGCUGCUGGAAAAAGCUACAUCAAAGCUUGAGGAGGAGAGGAAGGUGCAAAGGAAAGUCUUUCCUGGCUGUGGAGCUAUGACUUACUUCCCGGAUGAGGUGGUGGAGCACAUCUUUGACUUCCUGAGCUCCCACCGAGACCGUAAUAAUGUGUCGACAGUGUGCAAGGCAUGGUAUUUGGUGGAGAGGCUCAGCCGCCGGUGUGUAUUCGUUGGCAACUGUUACGUCUUGCGGCCAGAACGAGUAAUGGCCAGGUUCCCUAGAAUGAAGUGCCUCACUGUCAAGGGGAAGCCCCAUUUUGCUGAUUUCAAUCUGGUUCCCCACGAUUGGGGAGGCUAUGCGCUACCGUGGAUUGAGGCGGCUGCCCGAUGUUGCCCUGGUUUGGAUGAGCUCCGACUGAAGAGGAUGGUGGUGUCGGACGACAGCCUUGAGGUUCUAGCCCGCUCUUUCCCCAAAUUUAAGGCCCUUGUUCUAAUUAGCUGCGAGGGUUUCAGCACUGAUGGACUUGCUGCGAUUGCUACUCACUGCAGGGGUCUUAGGGAGCUAGAUUUACAGGAAAAUGAAGUGGAAGAUCAUGGUCGGCAGUGGCUGAGUUGCUUCCCUGAUUCCUGUACUUCAUUGGUAUCUCUAAAUUUUGCAUGUCUAAAAGGAGAGGUGAAUACAAGUGCUCUUGAGCGACUUGUUGCUAGGUGCCAGAAUCUAAGGUGCUUGAAGCUUAAUCGAGCAAUAUCUAUUGAGUCACUUAUCAGGAUACUUGCCCAAGCCCCCAGUUUGGUGGAACUUGGAACCGGCUCAUUCACAGCUGACCACCUCACUGAAGCUUACCAGAAUCUAAUUAAUGCCUUCUACAGAUGCAAAUCUAUAAGGAAUUUGUCAGGUUUCUGGGAUGCUUCUCCUCGCUGUUUGCAGUCCAUAUAUUCCAUCUGUUCAAACCUUACUGUUCUUAACUUAAGCUAUGCCCCUGCGAUCCAGGGUAAUGAUCUAAUAAAGAUGAUUCGUCACUGUUUCAAACUUCAAAAGCUUUGGGUAUUAGAUUGCAUCGGAGACAAAGGAUUAGCAGCUGUGGCCUCUGCCUGUAAAGAGUUACAGGAGUUGAGGGUAUUUCCGUCUGAUAUCUCUGGUACUGGCACUGCUGCUGUGACUGAAGAAGGCCUUGUUGCUAUAUCUUCAGGCUGCCCAAAGUUGAAUUCUUUACUGUAUUUCUGCCACCAGAUGACAAAUGCUGCACUGAUCACUAUUGCAAACAACUGUCCCCAUUUCACACGGUUCAGGCUGUGUAUUCUUGAUCCCAGAAAGCCAGAUCCCAUCACUAAUCAUCCAUUGGAUGAAGGUUUUGGAGCAGUUGUGAAGUCGUGCAAAGAUCUGAAGAGAUUAUCAUUAUCAGGCCUUCUAACUGACAAGGUUUUCUUGUAUAUAGGCAUGUAUGCUGCACGUCUAGAGAUGCUUUCAAUUGCAUUUGCUGGUGAGAGUGAUAAAGGAAUGGUUUACGUGCUCAAUGGAUGCAAGAAUCUUAAAAAGCUUGAAAUAAGAGAUAGUCCUUUUGGUGAUGCGGCACUUUUGGAGAAUGUAGGGAAGUAUGAAACAAUGCGAUCCCUUUGGAUGUCAUCGUGUGAUGUUACUCUAGGGGGUUGCAGGGCACUUGCCACAAAGAUGCCAAGAUUGAAUGUUGAAGUUAUAAACGAGAUGGAUGAAAAUGAUGAGAUGGUGGAAAAUCCCAGUGACAUGCAUAGGGUGGAGAAGAUGUAUGUUUAUCGAAGUCUGACCGGGCCAAGGAACGAUGCACCAGAAUUUGUCUGGAUAUUUUAGAGUUCUUCACCUCAGGAUCAUGAGUAUUAGUAGCACAUAAGAAGCAUUCAGCAUUCUAGGAGGCAUGGAUAAACUGGAGGGUGGUCAGUUCCAGGAUAAGCUUGUCAUGUGGAGUGUCUUUUCCUUUCUGCAAUGUGCUUGAAGCCCGUCAUUCCUAGUAUUAACCCUUUUUGUGUUAGGAUUUAAUUCUGCCUUUGCACCAAGGAAGAAGAGAAGCAGCAACAAUGACAGAUGAGGUGGUCGUGGAGGACAAAACAAAAGGAAUUUUUGCAGACGUUGGAGCAGCUUGCCAACAAGUAACACUUUCACAUGAUGCUGUAACACUUUUGGUUUUAACUCGAUCUUUGGAACGGGACCAAGAAUCAAACCACCAGUCUGACGUUCUUAUGAUAUUUGAUCACUCCAGCAGAAUUAACUGGAUAAACUAUGUCUGCAACAGUUGGUGCAAGGUUUAGGGAAAGCUUAAGCGACCACAGCAAAUGCUGCUGCUGCUGCGUAAAAUCUCGUAGCUAGGGCUCUCAAGGUCCUUUCUGCGCUCUGCGUAGAUUCCUUUGUGCCAGCCCGAGGAAAGGUCUCAAGCUUCAACUUGUAAAAGAAUUCGAAGCAGAGGAAAAAUGUUGCAGAAAUGAGUUAAAUUGAAAGUUGGAUUGAUCCAAGCUACAAGGGCGAGAGGUGAGUUUGAAGAGGUUCAGGCGUUGCCGUGGCGGCCGAGCUUGAAGAGGCGACCGCCGCACUUGGGGCAGGCGUCGUCGCUCUUAGGGACCAUGAAGUACAUGAAGCAAGAUCGGCAGCCAGCGGAGACUAGCGUCUCGGCGGCGGUCGCGGGGGAAGAGGCGGAGGAGAUGGAGGUGAGGCAAGAGUUGGCGGUGCUGUCGACGUUGUCCUCGUUAGUGUCGUCUCGGCUGCUGCCGCUGCCGCUGCCGACCCUGGAGAAGCUGUCAGAGGAAGAGGAGACGUCUUCUUCGUCCAAGAGGUUGCUGGACGAGUAGGUGUGGGUGGCGGCGAUUCGGGGAUCCUUGCUCGUCCUGGUUCCGGUCUCCCGGUUGAAGUAGUAGACCUCCCCUGUCUGCCAUCAGAGGAGGCGAAGGGAGCUCAGAAGAUUGCAAAAUCACAAAAAGGAAGGAUCUUGACGUCGGAAAAGACAGAUCGGUGUGCAUUGAUAACCAAUGAUUGGCGAAAAGGAGAGGAAGAAUUUAAAGAGGUGGGGACGUAUACCUGCAUGUCGAGACACUGCUCCCAGUGGAAAGGCAGCGCCGUCUCCGAGUUCAGCUCCACGGCGACAACACCCGCCGCCGGCGAAGGAAUCCCUCGUUCCCUCCCCACCGUGCAGCUCCGAAGCAGAGCGGCGAUCAUCUCAAUGUUUGGAGCCGUCAUCGGGAUCUAGAAAAACAAAAGGAGCGAGCGAGCUCGAGAGGAAACAGGCGAAGCCGAUCGAGCAACUACGGAAUGAGCAUUUGGGAAGGAGAAGACAACGCCCAUGGAAGGAAGUAAGCAGCAGCUGCAGAUGCCGCUGCUACUGCAACAAUACUCCCCAGAUAUAUGCGAUUUCCUUCUCCAAAUUAAAACUCGAGGCUUCUGAAUCGAAAUAAACAAGAAUUGAAUCGAGACAAGAACGGCGUUGGCCGCCUUGUCCUCAUCUGUUUGUCCGCAGGGUAAAAAGGGACAGUUCUUCGGAUGCAAUUUCGAGAUCACGUAGGGAAUUAAUUAUCUCUUUAUUUUCUGUUUAAUUUCGUGCAUUACGUGAAUCUUGUGCGGGCGAAGAAACCACGCUGCAGUGCAGUUUGGAACUUUGGAGGCAUGCAAUAAAAGAGAUGGGACGCGAUUCUCGAGCGAUCUCGUUCGGCGUUAUUAUUAUUCUGAUCAGAUUACGGCGCCAUUUAUUCAUUUGGUUCGACCCCCAAAAUCUAAAUCCAGCGUGCAAAUCUCCGCGUUGCUAUUGGAGUUGAUAAUUGUUGAAGUCAUGGAUGCUUCUAGUGGUCGCCUGAAUUCAAAUGAAAGAGUCAAGUCAACGGGCUUGGUUGACGCGAAAACUCAGAGGGCCCCACCUGUGAAUUGUUAAGCAUGGGGAAGUUAUUUGUAAAAGUAGCAUGAGACCGAUCGACGGAAGGGGAAGAAGAGAAGAGAGGGAAUGGCGACGAAAGGAAAGGAAGGGGAGCCUGCGCUGGGCGUGCCCUAUGGAUACGCUUAUGGCCAGGAAGCGCCGCAGCCGCAGCCGCAGCCGAAGGUGUAUUACGUGGGCCAGAACCCUUACCAGGCGGGGGCGAUCCCGCCCAACGCGGUGUAUGGCGACCCGAAGGGGAUCCCCCUGCAGCAGACGAUGUACCGAGACACCCCCGCCCCCUUCCAGUGCGUCUUUUGCGGGUCCUCUGGCCUCACAACCGUCAGGUUCGGAUUCUCCUCCGACUUGUACAAUUCUUUCCCUCUUUCCUGAGAAGAUGCGUCCGUAUUACUUCGAUCCGUCUUCUAUUGUUGAGAUCAUAUUUUCCUCUCUUGAUUCUUCCGGUUCCGUUCCGGCGAUCCGAAUGAUUUUCUUGUGGGUUUGUUAUUUUGUUUCUCCUCUUGAGAGUAAAUAUGGACCAGAUUACAGUGAGUGAAAAGUGUAGACGAGGUUGGAUUUGAUCUAAAUUGUUCCUGUGGUUUAUAACUUUAGAUUCCAAUCUUAUUCUUCAUCCUAGCUUUUAGCUUAAUUUGUUGCGAAUGAUAAGUGUGAAAUCAAGUGAUCUUGGUUUCCUGUAAUCCCUUUUCAAUGGAAUAUCUUUGCUUUGAUUUGCCUUGGGCUUAAGCAGGAAUAUACAGAUGUAAGUGCUUGAAAAUUUAACCAAUUUAUAUGUACUGAUUCAGAUUCUUUGGUUAGACUAAUUGAGACAAAUGGAGUAGAGAUAUCAAAGAAAGCCAUAGUUAAUGUAAUGAUACAAUAAUUUAAUUGAUUUGAAUUUUACUGGUGAUACAACCUUUAAUAGUGCUUAAUUAAGGGAUAAGAUCCAUGUAACUCACCCCAAAUUGUGUCAUAGAAUUGGAUAGAAAAACAGAUGUUGAAGCUGCAGCAUGAUGUAUUUGAGAGGACUACCAUCACAAUCAACUUUCCCUAUUCACGCUAACUCCUUUUGUUGUGACUUAAACAUUCGCGAUAUAGGCUUUUGCAAUCUUGAUUUCCAUUCUCAUUUCUAACAGAAAAGCCGAGGAGUUUGCUAUGCAUGAAUUCUGAUGUAUAUCUUUAAGAUCUAUGGUAAUAUUUACUUCUCAAACUGUUUUUUUUUUUGUCUCCAUAAAAUUGCAUAUGGCAUUUGGAAGCUUAAUUAUACAAACUAGUUCAUAUUUCUCAAUGUUCAGUCCAUCCUUGGUAUUCUCUAACCUGCAGAUUAUUUAUAGGCAGUACUUUAGAAUGCCUUCCUGUUCCUAGAUAUGUAAAUGUGUGGUGUUAUGUACUGGGAUUUGUGGUAUUCAGUUUAUGCUUAAGGGAUGCAGAAGCUAAAAAAAGGGAAUUCCUGAGAAACUAAGCUAAGGACAUUUAUUAACAAGACCAAAAAUCUAGGUUGCAAGUGGAAUAGUUCAAAGAAGUAUUUUAUGCUUUCAUUAUCAUAUACCAUAUAUACCAUAAUGAUAAUUUUGAGAAAUUUUCUUCACAGAUACAAGUCGUGACUUCUAACUGUUUAUAGUUUUUUUUUUUGUUGUCGUUGGAAAGUUGAAGGGGAGAGAUGACAAGAAUAUUAUUCUUAUUGUUCUCAAGUUUAUUAACUAAGCUCAUGCUUCUCUGAUAAAUUUCCAUCAUUGGGACAUUGCAUAUUUCAUCUCAUGUGGUGACAUAACUCCCAAGCAUUGAACUGACAAAAUUGGUCUUAAUAUAGAAAGUUCUGGUCAAAUACAGAGAGUUAUGUGCUUGGUCACCAAUCUAUAAGCUUGAACAUUACUCAACUGUAGUUAUUUCUCAAAUUAAUGAUACUUUUUUGGUAUUUUGUGAUUUUACAGAUUAACUAGACUUUUGCCCAUAGGAUAUAUCUGUCAUUGUGAUCGGUGGGAGAACCAUAAAAAGUCAUUAUAUUUGGGCUCAGAAGAGAAGUGUACAUUAAAACUUUGUCUUGAUAAGGAUUUGAACUUAGGCAUGCAAGAACCUCUCAAGUACUGUUUGAUCGAGGAAAUCGAUUCCCAUUUGAUGAUUUCUUUCUGUCAAGUUUAAUUCAAUUGGUAUGUUCCAGCAACUAGUUUCCUACCUGAAGAGUCAGAAGUGAAACCGCUUAAUGUAAGCCUGAUUUUGCCUUUCGACGAUUAGAUGGUCAAGCUCCUUGAUUGAAAUGUGUAUUUGGGUAGUUUCACUUCUAAGACCAAAGAGUGUUAACAUAGAUCCUUCUGGGUUGUAGAAUUUGCAAGGAAGAAGAUUUUGGUGCCCCAAAACUCUUAUCCUUUGGGUGCAUUCAAUAAAUCUUCGAGUGUUCUUUGGCCACUCCAAUCCUUUUUUUUUCAAAUAAAUAAAUAAAUUUAGAGUACUAUUCAUACACUGAUACCACAAGGCUGUUAAUGUUGAACUCGACAAUCAAGCUAGAUAAACACAGACUAUCAAAGAUGAACCUCUGAUUAUGGCUUGAGAAACUGUGGAGUACCGUCGACUGUGGUUUAAUAAGGCUGUUAAUUAAGUCACUUGAGUGAAAACUGUUUCGAUUGGGCACAGAUCGAAACCAAGCCUGGCAGCUGUUGUUGGUUGCAUGAUGCCAUUCAUGCUGGGAGUUUGCUUCCUUUGCCCAUCCAUGGACUGCUUAUGGCACAAGUACCAUUACUGCCCAAACUGUCAACAAAAGGUUGCCGACUUUGAGAAAUCGGACCCGUGUCUGGUUAUGGAUCCACCCCAUUGGCAAGAGAUGAGCUUCGCUGUCCCUGCAUAGUGACUCAUGGCUUCAAUCCUGCAUCAUGGUCAAUUCUGUUUGUAAACGCUUUUCAUAGGGCAAUUCCAUACAUUUGUAAUUGAAAUGCAUACUUUGGAGUGUGGUGUUAGAAAAGAGAUUCAUGUUAGAUCGAUAUUUGGCAUAAUAUUUAGAUGAAAAUAUUAUAUUAUUUUGAUAUGUUCCGUUUAA
RNA transcript from Zingiber officinale, 7331 nucleotides. It is a transcript of the gene named transport inhibitor response 1-like protein Os04g0395600, with no coding region annotated. The transcript is spliced from 7 exons. The record is from RefSeq and is a predicted model, not a curated record. Lineage: Eukaryota; Viridiplantae; Streptophyta; Magnoliopsida; Zingiberales; Zingiberaceae.